GACCGUGCGAAGGUAGCAUAAUCAUUAGUUUUUUAAUUGAAGGCUAGAAUGAAUGGUUGGACAAGAGAUAAUCUGUCUUAAAUUAAUAUAUUGAAUUUAACUUUUAAGUGAAAAGGCUUAAAUAAUCUGAAGGGACGAUAAGACCCUAUAAAACUUUAUAUUGAAAAGUGAUAGGUAUAUUUUGUUUAAAGAAUUAUUACUUUAAAGUAUUUGGUUGGGGUGACAAGAAUAGAAGAGAAAGUAAUUGUUUUUUUUUUAUACAAUAAUGUUUGGGUUAGUGAUCCUAAAAUGGAUUAAAGAUUAAGUUACUUUAGGGAUAACAGCGUAAUUUUCUUUGAGAGUUCUUAUCGAUAAGAAAGUUUGCGACCUCGAUGUUGAAUUAAAGGUUCUUUAUGGAGUAGAGUCUAUAAAAGAAGGUCUGUUCGACCUUUAAAACUUUACAUGAUUUGAGUUCAGACCGGUGUGAGCCAGGUUGGUUUCUAUC
This 484-nucleotide ribosomal RNA is filed under the name Cambarus tenebrosus. Its description in RNAcentral is "partial 16S ribosomal RNA". It matches the Rfam family "Bacterial large subunit ribosomal RNA", at positions 1944 to 2642 of the family's 2925-position model. The record is from RNAcentral. Lineage: Eukaryota; Metazoa; Arthropoda; Malacostraca; Decapoda; Cambaridae.